RNAcentral lists this ribosomal RNA (843 nucleotides) under uncultured bacterium. RNAcentral describes it as "bacterial SSU rRNA". It matches the Rfam family "Bacterial small subunit ribosomal RNA", at positions 62 to 864 of the family's 1533-position model. The record is from RNAcentral.
UCGAGCGAGUCUGCCUUGAAGAUCGGAGUGCUUGCACUCUGUGAAACAAGAUACAGGCUAGCGGCGGACGGGUGAGUAACACGUGGGUAACCUGCCCAAGAGAUCGGGAUAACACCUGGAAACAGAUGCUAAUACCGGAUAACAACAGAUGAUGCCUAUCAACUGUUUAAAAGAUGGUUCUGCUAUCACUCUUGGAUGGACCUGCGGUGCAUUAGCUAGUUGGUAGGGUAACGGCCUACCAAGGCGAUGAUGCAUAGCCGAGUUGAGAGACUGAUCGGCCACAUUGGGACUGAGACACGGCCCAAACUCCUACGGGAGGCAGCAGUAGGGAAUCUUCCACAAUGGACGCAAGUCUGAUGGAGCAACGCCGCGUGAGUGAAGAAGGGUUUCGGCUCGUAAAGCUCUGUUGUUGGUGAAGAAGGACAGGGGUAGUAACUGACCUUUGUUUGACGGUAAUCAAUUAGAAAGUCACGGCUAACUACGUGCCAGCAGCCGCGGUAAUACGUAGGUGGCAAGCGUUGUCCGGAUUUAUUGGGCGUAAAGCGAGUGCAGGCGGCUCGAUAAGUCUGAUGUGAAAGCCUUCGGCUCAACCGGAGAAUUGCAUCAGAAACUGUCGAGCUUGAGUACAGAAGAGGAGAGUGGAACUCCAUGUGUAGCGGUGAAAUGCGUAGAUAUAUGGAAGAACACCGGUGGCGAAGGCGGCUCUCNNNUCUGUUACUGACGCUGAGGCUCGAAAGCAUGGGUAGCGAACAGGAUUAGAUACCCUGGUAGUCCAUGCCGUAAACGAUGAGUGCUAAGUGUUGGGAGGUUUCCGCCUCUCAGUGCUGCAGCUAACGCAUUAAG